RNAcentral lists this long non-coding RNA (608 nucleotides) under Ananas comosus (pineapple). Its description in RNAcentral is "long non-coding RNA (ACOM_LNC024295)". The record is from RNAcentral. Lineage: Eukaryota; Viridiplantae; Streptophyta; Magnoliopsida; Poales; Bromeliaceae.
ACACUUUUAAAAAGUGUUGCUAUAUGUGGGGUCGCUAGGUAUAUAGUGACAGUUAAAGAGUGUCGCUAUAACCUAAAAGAGUGCUGCUAAUUUACCAACACUUAUUUAAGCAUUUAGCAACCGCCGAAACUCUAUCUCGUUGUCUGCGGUGGCGAAGGAGGACGACAGGAAAGGCUCUUCGUCUAGAAUUUCAGUGGAUUGAGUGAAGAGAGAAGAAAAGAUGGUAAUUGAUUUUUUUUUUUUUCUUUUCUGUUUGUAAUCGGGCCAAAUGGACUGGGUGUAGUGGGUUGAGUAGAGUAAUCUUUUAUUUUUGGUUGGAUUGAGCUUUAUAUUUAGGCAUUAGUAGAUGUGUUUUUAAGUUUUAGCAUAAAUGGGACACUUACUCAAAAGUGUCCCAAACAUGUGUCCCUAUAACCUAAUUCUGUUGUAAUGCUUGCUUAUUGAAAAAGGUCCAGCAUAUUACAGUUCUUUGAUAACUUAAGCUUUUUUUUAAAAAAAAAUAACUAUUCCAUACUAUUCCGUAAGAAAAGCUAUUGUAAUGUCCAAAAACCAUCCUCAAAUCUUUUCUUUAUGAAAUUAGAUUUUUUUUUUUUUAAGUUAGGUAAAUA